Molecule: ribosomal RNA, 559 nt
Filed under: uncultured bacterium
Lineage: Bacteria
Description: bacterial SSU rRNA
Rfam family: Bacterial small subunit ribosomal RNA
Source: RNAcentral
GGGGAUCUGCCCGAUAGAGGGGGAUAACCACUGGAAACGGUGGCUAAUACCGCAUAACGUCGCAAGACCAAAGAGGGGGACCUUCGGGCCUCUCACUAUCGGAUGAACCCAGAUGGGAUUAGCUAGUAGGCGGGGUAAUGGCCCACCUAGGCGACGAUCCCUAGCUGGUCUGAGAGGAUGACCAGCCACACUGGAACUGAGACACGGUCCAGACCCCUACGGGAGGCAGCAGUGGGGAAUAUUGCACAAUGGGCGCAAGCCUGAUGCAGCCAUGCCGCGUGUAUGAAGAAGGCCUUCGGGUUGUAAAGUACUUUCAGCGGGGAGGAAGGCGACGGGGUUAAUAACCCUGUCGAUUGACGUUACCCGCAGAAGAAGCACCGGCUAACUCCGUGCCAGCAGCCGCGGUAAUACGGAGGGUGCAAGCGUUAAUCGGAAUUACUGGGCGUAAAGCGCACGCAGGCGGUCUGUUAAGUCAGAUGUGAAAUCCCCGGGCUUAACCUGGGAACUGCAUUUGAAACUGGCAGGCUUGAGUCUUGUAGAGGGGGGUAGAAUUCCAGGU